GACGAACGCUGGCGGCGUGCUUAACACAUGCAAGUCGAACGGAAAGGCCCUGCUUUUGUGGGGUGCUCGAGUGGCGAACGGGUGAGUAACACGUGAGUAACCUGCCCUUGACUUUGGGAUAACUUCAGGAAACUGGGGCUAAUACCGGAUAGGAGCUCCUGCUGCAUGGUGGGGGUUGGAAAGUUUCGGCGGUUGGGGAUGGACUCGCGGCUUAUCAGCUUGUUGGUGGGGUAGUGGCUUACCAAGGCUUUGACGGGUAGCCGGCCUGAGAGGGUGACCGGCCACAUUGGGACUGGGGUACGGCCCAGACUCCUACGGGAGGCAGCAGUGGGGAAUAUUGCACAAUGGGCGGAAGCCUGAUGCAGCAACGCCGCGUGCGGGAUGACGGCCUGCGGGUUGUAAACCGCUUUCGCCUGUGACGAAGCGUGAGUGACGGUAAUGGGUAAAGAAGCACCGGCUAACUACGUG
RNAcentral lists this ribosomal RNA (468 nucleotides) under uncultured bacterium. Its description in RNAcentral is "partial 16S ribosomal RNA". It matches the Rfam family "Bacterial small subunit ribosomal RNA", at positions 28 to 507 of the family's 1533-position model. The record is from RNAcentral.